This 253-nucleotide ribosomal RNA is filed under the name uncultured bacterium. Its description in RNAcentral is "partial 16S ribosomal RNA". It matches the Rfam family "Bacterial small subunit ribosomal RNA", at positions 524 to 776 of the family's 1533-position model. The record is from RNAcentral.
UACGUAGGGGGCAAACGUUGUCCGGAUUUAUUGGGCGUAAAGAGCGUGUAGGCGGCUUGGUAGGUCCGCUGUGAAAACUCGAGGCUCAACCUCGAGAUGUCGGCGGAAACCACUUGGCUAGAGUCCGGAAGAGGAGAGUGGAAUUCCCGGUGUAGCGGUGAAAUGCGCAGAUAUCGGGAAGAACACCUAUGGCGAAGGCAGCUCUCUGGGACGGUACUGACGCUGAGACGCGAAAGCGUGGGGAGCGAACAGG